Molecule: long non-coding RNA, 687 nt
Filed under: Hordeum vulgare
Lineage: Eukaryota; Viridiplantae; Streptophyta; Magnoliopsida; Poales; Poaceae
Description: long non-coding RNA (HVUL_LNC007768)
Source: RNAcentral
GCCGCCCACCUCGUUUUCUCCGCCAAGCAAAACUGCAGCCAAAUCCAUCCCACGGCUCCUCUCCCCGUGGACGUGUCCGCCUACCAGUAGCCCGGCAACAAGCAGGAGUAGCAGCUCCCGCCGUGCUGGCCGGAGCCCCAACUUCACCUUGCCGACCGGCGUCCUCGGAGCUCCACUAGCAGGCCGACCAGGCUGGUCCCCUCGAGCCGCCCUUCCUCUGCCUCUCCAUCUCUCUGCCUACCUUCCUCUCUCCCUCACAUUCUAUCUCUCCCUCUUCUCUGACCCACAGGAACAACAGAGGAGGUCCUAAAUUGCCGCCAUGGACGUCAAGCCUGGACCUCGCCGCCUUUGGGAACGGGAUGGACGCCCCCGGAUCAGGCCGAUCUGGUUCGUCCCCGUCGCCUCCGGCCAGGACCCUGUCACCCUCGCCGUCCCCGUGCAGAACCCGCCGGAUCCUGCCAUGGUCACCGCCCCAUGGAGCUUGCCUGUCCAAGCCGUCGCAAGGCCGCAACCCCGACCGGAUCUAGAGGCCCUUGCCUUGACCUGGUGCAUCGCCGUGUCCCCAUGGACGGAGCUCCACCAUCAGGCAAGACCUGACCUGAAGCCGUGCUGCCGAACCUGCAGCCUGUAACUCCAGCACCGACAACAGAGAAAGGAACAUCUGUUCUGCACCUGGUUCAGUCAGCG